This 465-nucleotide ribosomal RNA is filed under the name uncultured bacterium. RNAcentral's name for it is "partial 16S ribosomal RNA". It matches the Rfam family "Bacterial small subunit ribosomal RNA", at positions 28 to 507 of the family's 1533-position model. The record is from RNAcentral.
GACGAACGCUGGCGGCGUGCUUAACACAUGCAAGUCGAACGGAAAGGCCCCUUUUGGGGUACUCGAGUGGCGAACGGGUGAGUAACACGUGAGUAACCUGCCCUUGCCUUCGGGAUAACUUCAUGCAACUGGGGCUAAUACCGGAUAGGAAUCCUUGCUGCAUGGUGGGGGUUGGAAAGCUUCGGCGGUUUUGGAUGGACUCGCGGCUUAUCAGCUUGUUGGUGGGGUAGUGGCUUACCAAGGCUUUGACGGGUAGCCGGCCUGAGAGGGCGACCGGCCACAUUGGGACUGAGAUACGGCCCAGACUCCUACGGGAGGCAGCAGUGGGGAAUAUUGCACAAUGGGCGGAAGCCUGAUGCAGCAACGCCGCGUGCGGGAUGACGGCCUUCGGGUUGGAAACCGCUUUCAGCAGGGGCGAAGCUUGUGGUGACGGUACCUGCAGAAGAAGCACCGGCUAACUACGUG